CCUUGCCUCUCUGGUGCUCCAGUUUCCCAGUGGAACCCCUAUCCCACAAGAUCAUAGCAGGGAUCACAAAGGGUUUUCAGAUCCAGAAAUCUCAGUAUUUAGAAAUAUUGCUUCUGAAACACCAGAAGUACAAUCCAGUGUAUCAUAAAAACUAUAAAGUAUGUCCUAAGGACAUAGUGAACCAUCUGAGACAAUGGUGCAUUGGAAGCAUCAGUAGGAAACCUCAGUGGAUGCUUAGUAACUAAAGAUAUCGAUGAAAUAAUUUAAUGAUAUCUACAGCUAGCAUAAGAAGCACAAGAAGCUGCAACAAGGCUAUUUUUUCCAUGAGAAUGCCACCCCAAUUCCUUCUACCAACCCACUUUAUGAAGAGGAGUGAUUUGGCAGAUCUCUUGAAAAAAGAGACUAAACAACUCCUGAGUCGUAUUGCCAUGGAGAUACAAACACAAACAGAGCACCUCCUGCUGCUUACACAAGCUCCAAGGCACCAUACACCAAGAGAUGUAACAGACCCAGGAGCUCAGGGAUGCCUGGUGGUUCUGCUGAGCUGGCACACAGCACAUGGGGGCACCACUCUCAGCUCUGCAUCCCCUUCCAUCAGCAGCUUGGUGUGGCUGUCCUCCAGCAAGCACAAGGUGCCAAGUCCCACUCUCUGA
RNAcentral lists this long non-coding RNA (653 nucleotides) under Anas platyrhynchos platyrhynchos (common mallard). RNAcentral's name for it is "lncRNA (ENSAPLG00000028914.1)". The record is from RNAcentral. Lineage: Eukaryota; Metazoa; Chordata; Aves; Anseriformes; Anatidae.